AAAAAAAAAAAGAAAAUUACAAUAGGUUUACGAAUAAUGUAAAAUUCUAUCAUUUUUUAUGAUAUGAAAUUUUAUAGCAGAAUUUCAAAUACAACACCACAAUAAUUAAACCUUAAUUCCAAACUGGAAUUGGCUAUAUGAAAUGGAUUCUUAUAGCAAAACUUUAAAUAAGGAAAAAAAGAAAAAAAGAAAAAAUCUACUUAUUCACAUAUAGUUCUCUUGCUAUGCUUCUCAUUCACUUUCUCUCUUUCUUUGUCUGGAAGUUGAAUAGGACAUAUGAAGCUGACUUUUGAUUUCACAUGAAGACAUGAUUGCCCCAUAAAUAAAUUAUGUAAUCUAGAGUAAUAGCUUUCUUUUGCUAUUAUAGGAGAGGAUUCCAAGAUUGCAUUAAAAUUAUUAAUUGCAUGUUUCUCCUUGCAAUUAGAGCUGGCUACAUUAUAAUAUUAUAGCAACAAAGUUGCUAUCCAGACACUGCUGAAUUGUAUUGUAGGCUUAGUUUGACCCCAGCAGACAUAGAUGGUAGGCAGAACCACACUAGUUGUUAAUUCCUCCACAUACACUUUCUUUCCUUUUGAUUCUCUGUGUAUAGAAUUUAUGUUCUCAUUGCGACCGAGGAACCUACCGUGCUUUUGAGAGGCAUAUGGAAAUUUUAAAUUUGAGUAUGCUGUCCUUUAAUCAUCUUCAUUCGGCUUCUUCUUCUUCUUCCUCUUCAUUGUUCUCUUUUGUUCCUUUUCUUCUUUCAUCCGUCACCCUCUUCUUUUUCUCUGCAUUGAAGUCUUUCUCUUUUACUCUUUAAAAGGAAAGUAAAUCGGAGACACUUGAAAGAACAAAAGAAAGGAAAUUCUAUCCUCCAUUAACGGUCUCGAUAUAAGUGUCAAAGUAUUUUGCUUUUCUUUUUCCUUCCAUGCACUUGUCAUCGUUGCUAUCAUCUUAAAUCUUUAUUGUCCCAACUUUUUUUAAGCUUUUAAUUUAGAACCACUGAAAGUCUUCAUUUGUUGAUUCUUUUAUCGGUCAUUCCAUCAUUUUGUGAUAAUUUUUCUGCAGAUGGAUUCUGUUAAACCAUCUUCCGUGACUCCAAAAAAGAGUAGCUUGGCACGCACGGUGGCGAAAGUUCUUCAUCUUCGUGCUGCAACUGGGAUUGCUCCAGUUGAUGGUGUGCAAAAAGUCAAGUCCCAGGAACAGGUCAAGAAUGAUAAUAAGAUUGGCAAUAAGAGCACAAUCAGUCUGCGUCAGUCCUUCAACAUCAGCAAUGAUGACGAACACCAAAAGAGUUUGGCUGUGGAAGCUCUUCUUGCAAAACUGUUCGCCAGCAUUUCUUCUGUUAAAUCAGCAUAUGCUCAGUUACAGUGUGCGCAGUCUCCUUAUGAUGUUGAUGGGAUCCAAGCAGCUGAUAAAUUAGUGGUUUCCGAGUUGAAGAAUUUGUCUGCGUUGAAACAGUGCCAUUUGAAAAAACAGUUUGAUCCUUCUCCGGAGACUACUUUGCUGUUGGCUGAAGUUCAGGAGCAAAAGAGUGUUUCAAAGACCUAUGAAAUUAUGGGGAAGAAAUUGGAGUCUCAGUUGAGGCUUAAGGACUCUGAGAUCAUAUAUCUUCGAGAAAAAUUGGAGGAAUUUAAUAGACAGAACCAGUUAUUUGAGAAAAGAUUGGAUCGAAGUGGACAGCUGUCUAUGCCUGACAAUCUUCACCUAUCAGGUUUGAGUCCUAGCCAUUUCCUAGCAGUUGUUCGCUUUACAGUCAAGUCGAUCCGAAGCUUUGUCAAGCUGAUGAUUUAUCAGAUGGAAGCUGCUGAUUGGAAUCUUGACGCUGCAGCCAAUUCGAUUGUAUCAAACGUGGUCUACUGGAGAGCUGAUGACAAAUGUUUUGCAUUUGAAUGCUUUGUUUGCAGGGAGAUGUUUGAAGCUUUCAAUUUGCCAAACUUCUCCCUUCCUUGCGAGUCUUUGCCAAAGGGAAAGAACAAGCAACAUUACUUUCUCAGGAGAUUCACAGAACUAAAAUCUGUCAAAGCGAAGGAACAUCUUGCAGAGAAUCCCAAAUCGACAUUUGCAAAAUUCUGCAGAGCCAAGUACUUGCAACUUGUUCAUCCCCAGAUGGAAACAUCAUUCUUUGGCAAUUUAAGCCAAAGAAACCUUGUGAAUUCUGGUGAAUUCCCUGACACUACCUUCUUCACCUCAUUUGCUGAAAUGGCAAAGCGAGUGUGGCUUCUACAUUGCUUGGCCUUUUCUUUCGAGCCAGAGGCCUCAAUCUUUCAAGUACGCAGCGGCUGUCGAUUUUCUGAAGUUUACAUGGAAUGUGUAUGUGAGGAUGCACUGCUUUCGUCCGAAAAUGCACCAGAAGCUGACCCACCAGUUGCAUUCACUGUCGUUCCAGGCUUCAAGAUUGGUAAAACUAUUAUACAGUGCCAGGUUUACCUCUCUCAAAUCCAAACCAAGGUAAAUCGGUAAUCUUCAUUUUCAUGGAUAACAGCACCUCCAGGAAGCUAGACCCACAACAAGGCCAUAGUCAUGAUUCCUCAUGAGUAACCUGGUAGCUGGGUGUCUCCUGUGGGGGCUUGGCUUCUUGAUGUAAGGUAAACCUAAAACGUUGACAUUUGAUCGGACGGUGAGGGUGAUGUGGGCCCACUGACAACAUCAAAAAGCAAGAACUGGAGGCCAUGGUCAUGAUUUUUCAUCUUUUGUAUUUUGAGUAAAGAAAUGGUUGAUGAUGGAAGAAAUGUGGCUUUGCCUUGGUUUUGUGGCCAAUUUGAAAGGGAGAAAGAAAGGGUAGAUGGCAACCUUUGAUUUAAUUAUUAGAAUUAUGGAAGACAUGGUUGCAAAUUUGUUAAUAUUAGGCGAAUGACACAAGGAUUUGUUUAUUCUCGUUUAUCAAUGUUAUGAUGUUUUUCAUGUACAUAAUAAAAUAAUAUAGUGGGGGGAGUCUUUUAUAUAUAUAUAUAUUAAUAUGAGUGAGUGAAUUCCAACUCGUUUAUAGCUUUGGAUGCCUUCCCAGAAUGGUGC
This 2991-nucleotide unclassified non-coding RNA is filed under the name Hevea brasiliensis (rubber tree). Lineage: Eukaryota; Viridiplantae; Streptophyta; Magnoliopsida; Malpighiales; Euphorbiaceae. The record is from RNAcentral.